This 468-nucleotide ribosomal RNA is filed under the name uncultured bacterium. Its description in RNAcentral is "partial 16S ribosomal RNA". It matches the Rfam family "Bacterial small subunit ribosomal RNA", at positions 28 to 507 of the family's 1533-position model. The record is from RNAcentral.
GACGAACGCUGGCGGCGUGCUUAACACAUGCAAGUCGAACGGAAAGGCCCUGCUUUUGUGGGGUGCUCGAGUGGCGAACGGGUGAGUAACACGUGAGUAACCUGCCCCUGACUUUGGGAUAACUUCAGGAAACUGGGGCUAAUACCGGAUAGGAGCUCCUGCUGCACGGUGGGGGUUGGAAAGUUUCGGCGGUUGGGGAUGGACUCGCGGCUUAUCAGCUUGUUGGUGGGGUAGUGGCUUACCAAGGCUUUGACGGGUAGCCGGCAUGAGAGGGUGACCGGCCACAUUGGGACUGAGAUACGGCCCAGACUCCUACGGGAGGCAGCAGUGGGGAAUAUUGCACAAUGGGCGGAAGCCUGAUGCAGCAACGCCGCGUGCGGGAUGACGGCCUUCGGGUUGUAAACCGCUUUCGCCUGUGACGAAGCGUGAGUGACGGUAAUGGGUAAAGAAGCACCGGCUAACUACGUG